RNAcentral lists this transfer RNA (73 nucleotides) under Otolemur garnettii (small-eared galago). It matches the Rfam family "tRNA". From Rfam's summary of the family: Transfer RNA (tRNA) molecules are approximately 80 nucleotides in length. Their secondary structure includes four short double-helical elements and three loops (D, anti-codon, and T loops). The record is from Rfam by way of RNAcentral. Lineage: Eukaryota; Metazoa; Chordata; Mammalia; Primates; Galagidae.
GGCUCCAUGGAUCCAUGGUUAGAGCUCUGGUCUUGUAAAUCAGGGGUCUCAAGUUCAGUCCUCGCUGGGGCCU